This 510-nucleotide ribosomal RNA is filed under the name uncultured bacterium. RNAcentral describes it as "partial 16S ribosomal RNA". It matches the Rfam family "Bacterial small subunit ribosomal RNA", at positions 28 to 507 of the family's 1533-position model. The record is from RNAcentral.
GACGAACGCUGGCGGCGUGCUUAACACAUGCAAGUCGAACGAAGAGCGACGGAAGCUUGCUUCUAUCAAUCUUAGUGGCGCACGGGUGAGUAACGCGUAAUCAACCUGCCCUUCAGAGGGGGACAACAGUUGGAAACGACUGCUAAUACCGCAUAAGAUCUAACCGCGGCAUCGAGGAUAGAUGAAAGGUGGCCUCUACAUGUAAGCUAUCACUGAAGGAGGGGAUUGCGUCUGAUUAGCUAGUUGGUGGGUUAACGGCCCACCAAGGCGAUGAUCAGUAGCCGGUCUGAGCAGGUGUACUGCCGCCUUUGGACUGAGACACGGCCCAGACUCCUACGGGAGGCAGCAGUGGGGUAUCUUCCGCCAUAGACGAAAGUCUUGCGGAGCCACGCCCCGUGUGUUAUGACGGCCUUCGGGUUGUAAAGCUCUGUUAAUCGGGACGAAAGGCCUUCUUGCGAAUAUUGAGAAGUAUUGACGGUACCGGAAGAGAAAGCCACGGCUAACUACGUG